This 468-nucleotide ribosomal RNA is filed under the name uncultured bacterium. RNAcentral's name for it is "partial 16S ribosomal RNA". It matches the Rfam family "Bacterial small subunit ribosomal RNA", at positions 28 to 507 of the family's 1533-position model. The record is from RNAcentral.
GACGAACGCUGGCGGCGUGCUUAACACAUGCAAGUCGAACGGAAAGGCCCUGCUCUUGUUGCGUGCUCGAUUGGCGAACGGGUGAGUAUCACGUGAGUAACCUGCCCUUGACUUUGGGAUGACUUCAGGAAACUGGGGCUAAUACCGGGUAUGAUCUCCUGCUGCAUGUUGGGGGUUGGAAAGUUUCGGCGGUUGUGGCUGGACUCGCUGCUUAUCAGCUUGUUUGUGGGGUAGUUGCUUACCAAGGCUUUGACGGGUAGCCGGCCUGAGAGGGUGACCGGCGACAUUGGGACUGAGGUACGGACCAGAAUGCUACGGGAGGCAGCAGUGGGGAAUAUGGCAGAAUGGGGGGAAGCCUGAUGCAGCAACGCCGCGUGCGGGAUGACGGCCUUCGGGUUGUAAACCGAUUUCGAAUGUGACGAAGAGUGCGUGACGGUAAUGGGUAAAGAAGCAACGGCUAACUACGUG